RNAcentral lists this ribosomal RNA (777 nucleotides) under uncultured Actinomyces sp. RNAcentral's name for it is "bacterial SSU rRNA". It matches the Rfam family "Bacterial small subunit ribosomal RNA", at positions 25 to 774 of the family's 1533-position model. Lineage: Bacteria; Bacillati; Actinomycetota; Actinomycetes; Actinomycetales; Actinomycetaceae. The record is from RNAcentral.
CACGACGAACGCUGGCGGCGUGCUUAACACAUGCAAGUCGAACGGGCCUUGUCCCCUUUUUUUGGGGGUGGGGUUAGUGGCGAACGGGUGAGUAACACGUGAGUAACCUGCCCCUCACUUCUGGAUAACCGCUUGAAAGGGUGGCUAAUACGGGGUGUUCUGGCCUGCUCGCAUGGGUGGGUUUGGAAAGAUUCGACCGGUUUGGUUGUUUUGGUGGGGGAUGGGCUCGCGGCCUAUCAGCUUGUUGGUGGGGUGAUGGCCUGCCAAGGCUUUGACGGGUAGCCGGCCUGAGAGGGUGGGCGGUCACACUGGGACUGAGACACGGCCCAGACUCCUACGGGAGGCAGCAGUGGGGAAUAUUGCACAAUGGGCGCAAGCCUGAUGCAGCGACGCCGCGUGAGGGAUGGAGGCCUUCGGGUUGUGAACCUCUUUCGCCAGUGAAGAAGGUCCUGCUCUUUGUGGUGGGGUUGACGGUAGCUGGGUUAAUGAAGCGCCCGGCUAACUACCUGCCAGCCGCCCGCGGUAAUACGUAGGGCGCGAGCGUUGUCCGGAAUUAUUGGGCGUAAAGGGCUUGUAGGCGGCUGGUCGCGUCUGCCGUGAAAUCCUCUGGCUCAGCUGGGGGCGUGCGGUGGGUACGGGCUGGCUUGAGUGCGGUAGGGGAGACUGGAACUCCUGGUGUAGCGGUGGAAUGCGCAGAUAUCAGGAGGAACACCGGUGGCGAAGGCGGGUCUCUGGGCCGUUACUGACGCUGAGGAGCGAAAGCGUGGGGAGCGCACA